CUGAACCAGCCAAGUAGCGUGAAGGAUGACUGCCCUAUGGGUUGUAAACUUCUUUUAUAAAGGAAUAAAGUCGGGUAUGCAUACCCGUUUGCAUGUACUUUAUGAAUAAGGAUCGGCUAACUCCGUGCCAGCAGCCGCGGUAAUACGGAGGAUCCGUGCGUUAUCCGGAUUUAUUGGGUUUAAAGGGAGCGUAGAUGGAUGUUUAAGUCAGUUGUGAAAGUUUGCGG
Molecule: ribosomal RNA, 227 nt
Filed under: uncultured bacterium
Lineage: Bacteria
Description: partial 16S ribosomal RNA
Rfam family: Bacterial small subunit ribosomal RNA
Source: RNAcentral